RNAcentral lists this ribosomal RNA (332 nucleotides) under uncultured bacterium. Its description in RNAcentral is "bacterial SSU rRNA". It matches the Rfam family "Bacterial small subunit ribosomal RNA", at positions 568 to 898 of the family's 1533-position model. The record is from RNAcentral.
UGUGUAGGCGGCCGCGCAAGUCGGAUGUGAAAUCCCCGAGCUCAACCCGGGAAGGGCACCCGAAACUGCACGGCUCGAGUACCGGAGAGGUUGGUGGAAUUCUCGGUGUAGAGGUGAAAUUCGUAGAUAUCGAGAGGAACACCGGUGGCGAAGGCGGCCAACUGGACGAGUACUGACGCUGAGACACGAAAGCGUGGGGAGCAAACAGGAUUAGAUACCCUGGUAGUCCACGCCGUAAACGAUGGGUGCUAGGUGUCACGGGCUUUGACUCCUGUGGUGCCGCAGCCAACGCAUUAAGCACCCCGCCUGGGAAGUACGGCCGCAAGGCUAAA